GCUUCCCUCGGCUAUUUUAGGACAGGUUAGGGACCAGUACUGGGGGGCGGUUUAUUAUGUGAAAAAAGGUCAGAAGUUUGCCUGCUUGCUCGAACCAGCAAAAUCUGUUUUUAAUCCAUGAAAAUACACCAAAACACCAUUCUUGGAGAAAAAGUGAUGAUGGAGUCAAAAUGACUGCUUUGCUUCUGCUGUAUGUAUCUUGGAGCUGGAUUUUUCUGUGAAGUCUGUGGAAGCUUGUUACCACGUUAAAUGCCCAGCUUUCAUUAAAUCUAAACCUGAAGGAAACAUGGAAGAGUGUUUGCCAACUACAAUAGAAAAUCUCUAAAAGCCUAGAUAUGCCCUAAGCAGCAGAGCGCAGAGGUGGGCUGUGGGCUUCCAGCAACUUACCGCUGCCAGGGAGGAUGGGAGCGUGGGCAGCUAGCUCCGCAGAAGCCGUGGUCCUGACAGCACCUGGUGUAUUCGAACCACCCCUCUCACCCCACGCACCCACUGGUCAUGUGAAUUUUCAGCCCACCCAGCUUGACUGAGCAUUUCUGUCUGGAAGCAUCUUGGGAGCAGCUUUCUUCUGAGGUACCUGGUACUUGCUGCUUUUGCUUGAGCAUCCUAGAAAUUCAGGGGUCAUCUUAACUUCAAAGUGCCCACAGCAACCCCCUGUUCAGGAUCCAGGAGUAAUCCUUCACCGCAGGAAUAAGGUGGACUUCGGCGACAGCCGCCGAAAUGCCAAGAUCACACAUUCCCAGCGCCCUGCCCUGCCAGCGGCGGGAGGAAACUCCAGUUUAUGUUAAUAAGGUGUGGAGGGUGGCCAAAAUAUUUUGUGAGUUUUCCGGCUUGAAAGGGUAAUGAAGCUACCUCUGUCUCAGUACGUUGGCACGGGAGCAAGCUAAACAACUGGGAAAUGUGUUUCAAAGGAGAAAUACAGAGCACAAACUCCCCGGGUUUUGCACUUCCACUGGGGGCUGAGCUUUGCCUCCUUCCACCUUUUUUCCAGGCUGGCGGCUCCCCUUCGCACAAAAAGAGGGAUGGAUGGGGGAGGGCGAGUGAGCUGUUUCUACGGAUUAGCUUCAGGCAGCUCUCACCAGACUGAACGUUACACUCAAAAGCAUUUCUUAGUUUAUACCAAAAUAAUGAAUUGUUUAGUACGUAAAGUAAACCCAGAAAGUUGUUCCUGUAAAUUUGGUAUAAAAUCUACCUAUUUAUUAGCUUUGAGCAAAAGAAACCUCCACGCUGCUGCGAGCACGGUCAGAUUCUUUGGGCGCGCUUCAAAAAGCUCGCUCUUUUUGUCAUUCCUCUCUGACCUCCUCCCUGCUAGUCCCGGGAUGAAAAGCAAGCCAAAGAUCUGCUGAGAAAUGGGCCGAGCCACUGCUGACCUUUGCAAAUCCAAUUUCUUCAAAGCGAGAGCUAAUCGACGUGUUCCCACGCUGUGUAUUGCUGAAACGUACGAUGCAAUUCAAGGAAUGAAUUCACCAUGGUGCAAUCUCAUUUUGAAUCCAGUUUUCUUGCUAUGUGUCAGAGGGUGAAGGAGGCAGAGUGUGGUACAAGUUAUAAACAGCAGUCACACACAAGUUUCACAAACCACGUUAAGUCUGUCUUUGAAAGAUUUUGUACUUUGGAGGGGUUCUUUCCCUUAAAAUUUAAAAUGCAUUAGCCUACUCCCCUUCUACUUUCCUCCCCCUCCAAAACAGAGAGACAUUUUGUAGUGAUUUAAAAGAAAAAUAAGCCAAUGAGAGUUUGUACUGCAUAAUCUCCAAAUAGAAAAAAAAAAUAGCUCUCUGGGCGUAUUAUCUGAUGUGUAACUGAGGUUACACAUUGGAGAGAUGUGUCUGGGGAGAUUUGCAUGCACAGGAGCUGUAGGUGAAUGGGAUGAUGAUACAGGAAGAGCUUUAAAAUUCAUAUUUAAAAUUCAGAUUCUCUCUCUCACUUUGCAUAUCAGAUUUGGUACGAGUGCUAUUCCUGUUUUACAGCAGUGAGAGCGGUCCCCUCUGUGCGAAGUUUUGCAAUCUCUGCUAGGUACCACAGGUGUGCCUGCAGGAUCUGUGCAGGAGAAGCAUAUUGGCAUUCCUAACCUAAAUCUUAUAAUCUUGUUUCAACAGGUGCAUGGAGACUGGCCCCCUCCCUCUGUUUUCCAGAAGGAGCUGCUGUUUGUUUCCCGUGCAGCUGGCCAAACCCUGCCUGACCCCAGCGCCGGGUAGCCUGAUACACCCGACGUGAGCGAGCGGCGAUGCAGUGCAGCCUGCUUACGUGCCCCGAGCGGUGCCUGUUUGCAUAACGAUGCCACUUUUUGUCUGGGGCAAAAGGGACGGAAGAGGACUCUCAUUCCUCAUUCAGCUACUGUGGGGCAUAUGUCACGGGUAGCACAUCUCAAGCCAUUUCGUCAGCGCCAGAGAGAGGAGUUACGUCAUUCCCAGCAUGGGGUUGGGUUUGGUGUGCCUCUCUUGGGAGGCUGCCUGUCCAGCUGGGAAGCCGUGGCAUGGCAGGCAGCCGCCAAGCUGCUCCACUUUUGGUGCCUUACCACAGGCCUCCCGGCGCAUGGUGUAUCCCGCCAGUUUGGUCGUGUAGUAGAACCAGGGAUAUUGCGACCUAUUUAUUUAUUUCAUUAUCGUCUUCGUUGCACAAAUGUAAUUCCAUUAGAGCUGAUGUAAUGUAGAAUCAGGCCCUUGGGGUAAUGGGCUAAACUAUAUUCUGGCUGUGUAAGCUGAAGACUUUCAGAGGAAGCCUCAAUGCUCUCAUUUUUUGGUUGUCCUUAGCAGAGCAAAUGAAAAUAUAUCAUUGUUCUCAAGAUUGCUGAAUAAAGCAAGUCCUUUUUAAAAUUUUAUUUCCAUAGCCAUAAAUAGUAAAUUUCAUCCAUUCAUGACUGGUUUAUAAAAGAGUUUGCUAACUAACCAGAUCUGGAGAACUUUCUUUCUCAGCAAGUAUUGCAAUAAGAGAAUUGUUUGUGUUUUUGUUACUUUCCCAAUAUUUUUGUUGUUCUCUUUCCUAAGACAUGAUUAGAUUUUCCAGUCUUCUGGACAUCAAAGAUUUUGGAGAAGAGAUUGUAUAAACUGGAUAGGUAACAGCUGUUACCAGACGGAUUUACUGGUAGAAAGGGGAGAGGGCUAAUUUCUUUUAUGUGCUUCCUCCCACUGCUGGCACCUUUCACUGUGGCACACUGUUCCUGUCCUGUGACAGGGAAUAUCUUUGCACAGAGGGAGCCCUUGUCCACAGGAUUACACCUACCUUUGGAUUUCGCUGUUAUUUAUAAGUAACUUUUCCACAUGCCUUCAUCAUAGCUCUUUUACCUGCUGUUCCAGUAGUUUAUUAGAGAGAAAAGAAUAGGAGAGCAGCUCUAACUGUGGUAGUUAAUGGCACUGACUUAGAGAUUUUCACUUCUGAGCUUUUCAAGUCAGAAUUUUUGUUUGCUCCACUUCUGGACAUCUUAGGACACUUUAAAGUGGAUUUAUUUCUGUAAAAUAAAAAAUUGUACAGUGAAUUCCCCAAGAAAGGCCACACAGGACUGAAGCAGGGUUUCAGCUUGAAUAAAAACUGCAGUCUCUCUGCUGCACCCUCCCAUUUAACGUGGGAAUGAACAUUUGCAUGAAUCCUCUUUAUUUCCUCAUCUGGUGUAAAAUUCCUUGUAAAAUUCUUUAGGAAAGAUCUUGGAGGGGAAAUGCUGAUUUGUAGUAUUGCAAAGUACUAGCUGGUAAAAUAGAUUGUGUGCGUGUAUGACAACGUGAUUUUUGCAUAUUACCAUGCCAACAAUAUCUGAUCCCAUUCAGAUAACAGUAAAGCGACCUACAGCUUUGACCAGAUUCAAAGAAAGUCACACUACUUCUACUCUUUCUUAUUUUAGGUUUGAUCUACUUGCUUUCACAUUUGCAUGUUGUGUUUUAAAGUACCCACCCUCACGUUUUUCAAGCUUCAGCAAAAGACAGCACUUUCAAUAUUUAUUGUCUGCAAAAAAUGUCCUAUGAAUAUUCUAAGACAUCCAAUCUGAUCUAAAAAUUUAAGAGGGCCUGGCAACUAGUCUCCUUCUUCCUGAGGUAACCGGGAUGAAUACUUUUGAUCCUUCCCUGCUCUGAGCAACUUUAGAGUCUAUUGCUAUUGCAGGAGAAGAGACUCUGGCUUCACCCAGUUUGUGAGGAUCCUCAGACCUUUGCAAAAAUGCUCAGUUUCUCACAGAGUUUGACCCUUUUCUGAAAGCUGGCCUGGGGGCACUGGGCACCUCAUCUGGGAGAACACCACUGGAGCAGAUAAUUCAUGUCAAAGGCAGCUGGGCUGCUGUCGGAAGACUGAAUCCUGGCUGGAGAAGGACAGAACAGAAGCCAUGUCCAAAAAACCAUCUCUAAUGUGAUUUUGGGUUCUUUUUUUCAUUACGCUCUAGGCCUCAAUUAAUUUCAAACGUUUUUCUUCCGUCUCCUUCAUUUGCUCCCUGACUACUGCUCCAUAUAUUUAAAGCUAAUGACCCCGAAAAGAGAGGAAGUCCUUUUAAAAGAGCUACUGAGCUUUUGUGCUAAGCCCAGAAUAUUUUUUUCUGCACAACCAGUGGAGAAAUGAGAACAUCUCUGCCAGCUUCAAGGUGAAAUUCUCCAUCUUUAGUGAGUGUUUAGACUGCAAUCAAGAUGAAACUUCAAAGGCAAAACUACAGAGGAGGCUCACAGGCUAGGUGGGCAGUUUGCUGCAGGAGCAGGGAAAUAAGCCUUAUCCACUGCUCCUCUUGUAGUGGGAAUUUGCCAUUCAGCUGGCACUGUAAACACAGCAAAGAGGUUUUAUCACGAAGAAGAAGUCUGAAAAGGUGUCAGUUUGCAAAAUUGAAGGAGCUGGCAGGAUUUAAAUUCCAGAAACAAAACUGCUAUGAUAAUUGUUUUCCCUUUUGUUCAUUUUGUCUGAUUAUAGUCCAGAGCGAAAAAUAUUUCAGUAGCUUGCAAAGCUGGAAGCUAACCAGGUUAUCAAAAUGAGCUCCAGCUCACUGAGGGAUAGCAAGAAAUAUGUUUUUCUUCUUUAGGAUGUUGUUAAUAGUUUUGUAUUGCUUGCCAGCUUAUUAAAACUUUGAUUUGAUUUG
Molecule: long non-coding RNA, 5035 nt
Organism: Aptenodytes forsteri (emperor penguin)
Lineage: Eukaryota; Metazoa; Chordata; Aves; Sphenisciformes; Spheniscidae
Exons: 6
Source: RefSeq, a predicted model, not a curated record